CUCGGUGAUUUGAGCGAAGCGGUCCGACCUGAUCCCAUCCCGAACUCAGUCGUCAAACGCUUUAGCGGGGACGAUAAUAUAUCCGCAAGGUUAUGUGAAAAUACCUCAUUGCCGGGA
This is a non-coding RNA of Candidatus Daviesbacteria bacterium, 117 nucleotides long. The record is from Rfam. Lineage: Bacteria; Candidatus Daviesiibacteriota.